RNAcentral lists this long non-coding RNA (1755 nucleotides) under Anas platyrhynchos platyrhynchos (common mallard). RNAcentral's name for it is "lncRNA (ENSAPLG00000029876.1)". Lineage: Eukaryota; Metazoa; Chordata; Aves; Anseriformes; Anatidae. The record is from RNAcentral.
AGCAAAUACAUCUUUAUCCUUCAGCUGAUAAGAAUCUGAUUAGUAGAUUUCUGGUUCAAGAAACAAUAUGAAAUCAGACAGCAAAAUAACAUUUAAGGUUUUAGGUAGCAAGUCUGUAAACUUUAUUUGCCUUGAAAAAAUCAUUAUGAUGGUUGAGGAAUGUACACACAAAAUGAAUAGCUGGGAUUUCCAAAACAAAGCAUUAUUCGUGUAAGAAUAAAAGUAGUAGUAAAGAAGAUUAAAAUGUUAACUGUAUAGAAAUGAACUGGAAGAGCUGCCAUAGUUGGAAGCAUUUUCUAAUGAUCAUGGAAGGUCGUUAUAAAUUAGAGGCACUAUGAAGGUCUAUUAAAUGCCAUUUCCCUUUUACUUUAAGUGCAAUGGCCAAAUCUCUCCAGGUAUCACUGGUGGGACCUUAAUUUCAGUGGAAUUGCCUGAAUUUCUCCUAGAGCUGUUCAAAGUGCCAAACAAGCCACUUCUGUCAGGUGUUAUUUCUAUGCUCCAUACGCUGCCUCCUACAUUUCAUAUCCUAUGGCACAACCGAUCGUAAUUUGGCCGAAUACAGCAUUUAGUAAACAAGGAAAGGAUUUGACACUCUACGGGCUUGCUCUUUCAGCUCUGAGCUAGUGGCCCCCACGGAGCUUUUCCACCAAGCACCCGUGGGCAGCAGCAGCGCUGCGAGCCCCCCAGCCCCUGCUAACCCCUCAGAGGCAGGUGCUCACGGAGCACAACUCGGGCAAGCUCCAUUAUUUGAGGGCUUGGUGCCGUCAGUGCCCGGGCACCGAGGCGGGGCGGGACAGGUGCUGCAGGAACCACCUGUGUGAAGCCGCAGGGCGGCGGGCACGGCCCUGCCCGGCCCUCGCGGGCUCUCCCUCGGGGCUUUCCCCGCUGCCAGGCCCGCCCUGCUCGGGCCGCGGGCGCCGCCUCCCACCCCGCGGAGCCCGGGCAGGGCAGGGAGCCACGCUCCGGCUCCCCUGCCCGGCGGGCACCGCACCGGGACAGGUCCCCCCCGGGGCCGCUCCACAGCCCCACGCCGUGGCCCGCCCCGUGCCGCGCCGCCGCGGGUGGCGGGGGAGGCGCCGCCACCGCCGAGGCGGGGCCCCGCUCCCGAUCCCGCUCCCGAUCCUGAUCCCGAUCCCGCUCCGCUCCGCCGCCCCCUGGCCCCGCUCCGCCCCGCUCCGGCUCCCGCGGCCCCGCCGCGGCUCCCAGCAUGAACGUGAGGAGGGUGGAGAGCAUCUCGGCGCAGCUGGAGGAGGCCAGCUCCACAGGCGCAGCACCACCACAGAACAUUCAUUCAAAGUGCUGUGAUAUCAGCAAGUAGUGAUAUGUAUAGUAUAUAGACAAAGAAGGUCAUUCACAUGGGGAAAAAUCAUUCUGCAAACUAAAAAAUGAAACAAGAAACAUUCUGCUAGUACCUUUUGGCCUACAUCAGCUCUCAAGACAUGGCAGGAAGUCCUGCCAUCUCCAUGUCAUUUGGGCCAGGUUCCCUGUCUGGCUGAUGUCAGUAAUUCUCCCUGGCUCCAGUGUCAUCUCCUAUGGAAAACCAUCUGUUGUUCUCUUACCAACAGCUGUAGGAUGAUAAAUGGAGAUUUUUAUGGAAAACUUUUGCAUGCUACUUCUGAGCAAAGGAGAAUCUUUUCAACUCCGAAAGCGUGAUAAGAAUCAGCCCCUCUGAAAUAUUCCCAUCAUGAAUAUCAACCUUUUCCCUAUUUGAAACUGAGUCAGAGGCAAUAAACUAUAAAUCCCAUAACUCGUGCA